AGCCAAUAGAUACCCAGGUAGUCCACGCCCUAAACGAUGUCUACUAGUUGUUGGUGGAGUAAAAUCCAUGAGUAAACGCAGCUAACGCGUGAAGUAGACCGCCUGGGGAGUACGGUCGCAAGAUUAAAACUCAAAGGAAUUGGCGGGGGCCCGCACAAGCGGUGGAUUAUGUGGAUUAAUUCGAUGCAACGCGAAAACCUUACCUGGCCUUGACAUGCCACUAACGAAGCAGAGAUGCAUUAGGUGCCCGUAAGGGAAAGUGGACACAGGUGCUGCAUGGCUGUCGUCAGCUCGUGUCGUGAGAUGUUGGGUUAAAGUCCCGCAACGAGCGCAACCCUUGCCAUUAAUUGCCAUCAUUUAGUUGGGCACUUUAAUGGGACUGCCGGUGACAAACCGGAGGAAGGUGGGGAUGACGUCAAGUCCUCAUGGCCCUUAUGGCCAGGGCUUCACACGUAAUACAAUGGUCGGUACAGAGAGUUGCCAACCCGCGAGGGGGAGCUAAUCUCAGAAAGCCGAUCGUAGUCCGGAUUGUUCUCU
RNAcentral lists this ribosomal RNA (537 nucleotides) under uncultured bacterium. Its description in RNAcentral is "bacterial SSU rRNA". It matches the Rfam family "Bacterial small subunit ribosomal RNA", at positions 767 to 1306 of the family's 1533-position model. The record is from RNAcentral.